Rhipicephalus microplus (southern cattle tick) is the source of this 338-nucleotide long non-coding RNA. Lineage: Eukaryota; Metazoa; Arthropoda; Arachnida; Ixodida; Ixodidae. The record is from RefSeq and is a predicted model, not a curated record.
GAUGUGCUUGUGGAGUGUCUUGCAUCAGCUGAAGUCCUCUUUCUUGAGUCUUUGGUGAGAUGCCUCUUCAGCUUCAGCCAGUGUCCUGCAUUUUUUGACAACCUCAUUAUUGCCUAUGUUGUUCAACCUCUUUUGAUGUCUGCUACCCAGCUAAUGUCGUCCAAGCGAAUAGGUGCAGCAGCAAAAGCUCUCAAGCUUCUUCGGCUGGUGCUUUCCAGGCAGCAGAGCUUUAGGGCGAAUCUUGAACUUGUAAAGUUGUUUGUGCAACACUUGUCUGAUCAAAUGGCUACUGGACACCAAGUACUGGUGCUUGCUGCAAUGGAGGUCUUUGGAGAACU